UUAAUGGGUGAACUGCUCGAAGUGGACAUUUCACAGCUCAUUGAAACAUUUCCGAAUCAACACGAAUACCUGAGGUCCGUGGCCGAGGGACACUGCGAUGAACCAGUUCGGCCACGCAAGGAAUCCUCUUCCAUCGCUGUCUCCAAGAACUUCCCCGGAAAAUUAUCGAUUCGAUCGGUGUUGGAGCUGAAAAAAUGGCUCGACGGGCUCACGAAAGAGCUCGCAAAGCGUUUGGCAACGGAUCAAGCGGAAAAUAAGCGAACUGCCGAGAAUCUGGUGUACUCACUGCUCACAGAGGACGGGAAACCACAAAAAACGCUGAAAAUCACCAGUUAUCACCCGGAUACACUUUUUGAGCAGAUUUGGGCAGCUAUGAAGGGAUUAAAUAAGACAAAUGCCACUAAAAAUGAGGGUAAUAAUAAAAAAAAAUUAAUUUUUAUAGCUGGAAAUUUGAAAAAAGUACGCAAAAAUUAGAAAAAAAGCGGCAAAAACACUUUUUUAACAGUUUUUUCAGUAAAAAAAAAUUUGUGGCCUAGUUUUUAGGAUUUCUAGGCCACCUGUUGGAAAAUGCCGGUUUUUAGAUUUUUGGAUUAAAUAUUUGAAAUUUAAACGAUUUCGACUGAAAAACAACGCAUAAAACCGCAAAUCUGAUACAAUAAUUGAGUAUUUGCCCUAAAAAUACGAUUUCCCGUGGCUUUUCACUGAAAGCUGACAAAAAUUUGAAUUUUCCCCAGGAAAAUUCCAAAAAUCACCAAAAGUCGAUAUUUCUGUGACAAAUGUGCUCUAUUAUCAAAUUGUUGGCAGAAACACUGUAUUUAUUCACAUUUUCAACCCUAAAUUGGCUGAAAAUGUGAAUAAAUACCGUAUUUCUGCCAACAAUUUGACAAUAGAGCACAUUUGUCACUCGGAGAUGCGUAAGCUAUGCCCAAAUUUUCAUUUUUUCGGAAAACUUCAGAUUUUUCACUAAUUUUUUUCAAUUUUCAGUCUGUUUUGAAGCUUUUCAGUGAAAAAAUCGAAUUUCCCGUUAGUUUCUAAGUCUAAAACUCGGAAUUUGAGUUUUCCGGGGUACUGUAGCGCCAAAAGUACGCAAACACCAAAUUUCUCACGGCAAAAUGCAGAAUUGUCUGAAAAAUCGCGAAAAUUGUCUAUCAAGGGGUAAUAAUAGGCUGUGAAUUCAAAUUUUGCUCGAAAAAUUUAUAAAAACUUGAAGUUUAACAAGAAAAUGCCAAUUUUUUAGAAAAAAUUUUGAAAACCCAUUUUUUUUUCCAAAUUUCUUAAAUUUCCUCAAUUUCUAAGUAUCAAAUUCGAAUUCUCCACUGAUUUUCAACCCUAAAAACUAUUCUUCUGGGUUUCUAGCUCCAAAUUUUAAAUUCGCAGGGUACGGUAGCUCCAAAAGUACGCAAACACCGCGGAGCUUACGAAAAAAUGCACAAUUUUCAAAAAACUUGAGAAAAGCAUCGCGAUAGGGGUAAUAAGUACUCCGGAAUCCGAAUUUCCUAAUGAAAAUUUAUAAAAUUGAGAGGUUUUCUAGAUUUUUUCAAAAUUUUCAUUGUCAGACUCCGGUCCCUGGACACCGCCAAUUCUCAACAUUUCACUAUCAGCGACACGUUUUCAACCCGGAAUUCCUGCACAAAAUCGAUCGAUUCACGAAUGGCUUUACGAGAAAAAAACGCGAAAAUCGCGUCGAAAAGCGGCGAUUUACGAUGAAAAUGAUGGUCGAGAAGAUGUGAUUUUUGUUGAACCGCCGGAAAAAGUACCGGAAAAUGAUCAAAAAUCCGAGUUUUUAGUGAAAAAAUCGAAUUUUUUUCAGCUGAAAAAGCCGAAUCCAACACCAAAAUCCACUGGAACAGACGGAGAUUUCAUUGUUUUAGGCUCAGAUUCGGAUGAUGACGUUGUACAGCCAAAAACUGAUGAUAAUUGGAUUUUUGUCGAUGGAAAGAAAUUUUCAAAAAUGGCCUGGAGGCACCUACCGCCUGACAUUAAAAAGG
Molecule: small RNA, 1988 nt
Filed under: Caenorhabditis elegans
Lineage: Eukaryota; Metazoa; Nematoda; Chromadorea; Rhabditida; Rhabditidae
Description: Unclassified non-coding RNA F53A3.13
Source: RNAcentral